GCUGGGUGCGGUGGCCCACGUCUGUAAUCCCAGUGGCUCGGGAGGCUGAGGCAGGAGGAUCCUGAGUUCAAAGCCAGCCUCAGCAACUGCAAGGUGCUAAGCAACUCAGUGAGAUCCUGUCUCUA
RNAcentral lists this small RNA (125 nucleotides) under Marmota monax (woodchuck). The record is from RNAcentral. Lineage: Eukaryota; Metazoa; Chordata; Mammalia; Rodentia; Sciuridae.